GCCGGUUGGAACUCUGUACACUAUUAGACUGCAAAAGACUGCAUGCUGCAACUGUUGAAUUCCAAGUUUUUCUUACUUCUGAAAGGAUAUUAUAAUAUUAGAUUGAUUGCUUUGGCAUAUAAUUUUGAAUCAGAUUGUGUGAUACUACCUGAUUGACAGUUCUACAUCUACAUCUAAUACAAAUCCUCAAGAACUUCUGAAUUCAUAGAGAAGCACAAGAUUAUUAUGAUGGCGGAAACAGCAGAAGUGGAUGUACCAGAAGUCAAAGUGGGAGAAAAGUCACCCGACUCACCAUAUGAUCCAGAGGAUACUAUAAAUACCACGAUCACAUCGAUAGACACAACGUUACCGAGUGAUUCGGUAGCAUCACCUCCUCCUCAUACAAAUGGUAUCUCAAAUGGAAAAACCAAUGGAUCUGCUGUAGCUGGAAAUGAUGUGCAUAAUCUGAAACAAUACAAGCCUGGUAAGCAUGAAUCCACAUACAUAAAUGCAUGAUUCAAAACGGUUGGAUAUACCUUGUUUCUGAUGUUGAUUUUUAUGCCUGUCUUAUCCUCAUGGGAACAGCAUGGAGGUUUGUAUAAAAUUUAUGUUAAAGAUAGAUUGACAAUGUGUUUUGAAUGUCUACAUGGAAGUCUACUUGUACAUAUUGAGUUUUGACUCUGUUCUAUCAUUGUCUUUGUUUUUCCAUGUAUGUGAACGGGGGGGGGGGGGGGGUUCACAUUAGAAUAUUCGGUUUUGUUUAGCACAUAUCACAUCAUGUAUUACUCCUCCAUGUGCUUCCAAAUAGACUUUGUUGCUUAUACUGCAAAAUGUUGAGAGGGGGGGGGAGGUGAUUGCUCAAGGAUAAUGAAAUAUUUCGUGGGUCAGAAUUGCGAGGGAUGAAUUCUCAAGACAAAUAUAUUUUGCAAAGUUAACAAAAACUAACAAUCUUAUCUAUACACAACAAAAAAAGUAAGUCCCCCCUUGAACAAACAUCAAUAAUUUCCGAACCAAUGCGAGUUUUUGAUAUAUUUUUACACGAGUGUGUAGGUAAUUUUAUAAGCUACCCUCUGAGUAAAUGUUAUGGACGUAUUUUACGUCAUGCUUCAGUGAGCACCGUCAGAAGGCAAAAAUGUCACUUUCCAAAAGUCACAAGCCAAAAAUCAUGACUUUGAUUCCAUUUUAUUGGAACUGAUUCCACAUUCUCAUGAAAAAUAGUCAAAAGGCUUGUAAAAGCUACUUUCUAAAAGACGAUACAAUUUUUUGGGCUAAAUUUCACGGUUGAAUAAACACAAGUCCAAAUUUGCUAUAAUUGGAUUUUUUACACAUUUUCAUCAAUAAAAAUGAAAGAAUAUGAUGACAGUUAUUUUUAUGAAGAGUAUCUUCAACAAUAUUCAUCGUUUCACGGUUCGAUGAACAUUUAUUGAAAAAAAAAAUACGAUUUUCAAAUAUCAUAGGCAAGUAUUGUUUUAUUUUGGUAACUGAAACUGAUCUUUUAUCAACUUUUUCGUUAUGUUCAUGACCAAUUAACAUGCUUCAAUGAUUCAAAGGCGUUUAAUUAAACAUUCACGCUUGAAUGAACAUGUGGAAUGUGAUUAGCUCUUUUUUUACGUUAUUGGAAAAAAUGCAAUUUGUAACUAUGGAUAUCUGUCACAAACCUCCGUGCAUGGUUCAUUUGAUUUGAUUUUUAUGAAAAUCCCGAUGUUUAAUGCGUCAGUGAGCACACAAUAUUCGAAAAUUAUGCAAAUGAGAAGAAAGUUCAAGGCCUUGGCCCCACUCUGUGCCGCAUCGAAUUGUUAUUUGGUUUGCGUGCCUUUUGGAUAGUGUUACCCUGAAGCCAUGUGCGAAGUUUCAUGAAAUAACUGUUGGCACAAGUAACAAAAACCGUCCAUGAAACAAACCCCUUAUUUCAUAUUUGUUAAAUUUUGACUUCCUCUCUCAUAGACUUGUGUACAUUAUGGGUGCAUAUGUUUAAGAAUUAGUAACCCCUUAUUCAAUAUGGUGGAACUUUUUUUCAAGGCUGUCUACAGCAAUGUCAUUUGGCAGUAAUGUUUAUCAACCUAUGGGCAGAAUUCUGUGCAAAAAUGAAAUCGAUUUGUUUAUUUACGGAUGAGUGAGCACGCAUCAAAGUGAGAAAAUGGGUAUUUUCAAUGUCACAGACUCAUUUUAAAGGGUAAUAAGGUGAAUAUUGGGGGCAAAUUCGGUUUCAAAUGUGACUAUAAUUGCUGUUGUUUUUAUCAUCCAUCAUUUCUAUCACCACACACUUACCGAACUUAACAUUUUCAUGGUUGAGCGAGCACAUUCGAAAACUUAGGAAUGAAUACUCUUUAUACUGCAUAAAUGCAUUAUUUUCCUAACAAUUUCUCAUGAUCAGUUUAAUUUAUGGACAAAUCAGUGGUGGAUCCAGAAUUUAAAAAUGGGGGAGGGGCCUAUAAUCGGGGGAGCCACCAACAUUUUCAAAUUUUAAUAUGACCUAACAAGUUGUAGAGGAUACUACCAAAAAACCCUAUGAUGAUACGUCACAAUACAGGGGCCGCGGAACGGUUUUCAAAGUGUGAUGAAGGGGCUGAGCCAAAAGUGGGGGGGGGGGGCUGACCAUGCAACAAAUCACAAUCUAUGGUCAUUUUUACAUUUUUGUACAUGAUUUUGGAAAAAAGUGGGCCCCCCCGCAACCCCGCUUCCGCGGCCCCUGCGAUAUUGUGCUCACUCAACCAUGAACAUACGAUAUCAAAAUUGUGUGUGGAGUGGCUAAAUGAUGGAUAGCAAAACAGUAUAACACCAUAAAAUUCACCUAAAAACAACUUUUGCCCUACUUUGUAUUUGCACAAUCUGAAAAACGACUCUUGUGACUUUCAAAAAUGGUCAUUUUUAAUUCAAUCUUUAAUUACUCAUGCAUGACUCAACCGAUCAAUCUCAUUUUUCCCCAGGAGUUGCGAAGGAGGGGGUUCACAAUAGAAUAUUCAGUUUUGUUUAGCACAUAUCACAUCAUGUAUUACUCCUCCAUGUGCUUCCAAAUAGACUUUGGGUGUGUUGAUGCUUCCAUUGCGAGGACAGUAUCAGCGUUUUCAAACGUCGAUUCAAAACGCCGAUCGUAAAGGUGGUUCUGGGAGUGCUGUUUAUGCUUAACUUUUUAGAGACGAAAUCACGAUCUCCAGCUGGCUUCGCAUCGUAAUUUUCGUUGAGCAGGAAAGCGAGGUCAAAUUGGGCACACCCUUUUUCGAAAGUUUUUUUUCCGAGUGUUGUUAUGGGGAAGGGACGUCGACUGUUAUAUAAACAUCGAACAAUUUCCGAUAUUUCAGUCAUUGCAUGGAGCCUCUUGAUAUAGCCAUAUGAUUUCCACCAUGGUGAGGAUAAUAGUAUUAAAGAAAAAAUAAAGAAUAUUAAGUAUACAAAAUAACAAAAUUUGUUUAUGCUACUGGGCAUCUGGUGAUGUCACCUCAUUAAAACUCAUGUUCCAGGUUUUUUUUUUUGGUGUAAAUCUCUCAACGUUCAUCGUGAUGACAAACUUGGAAGAGUAAUACUAGUAAUAGUACUACACAUGCAAAACAAGGGAGAUGAGAGGUAAUUCCAUGGAGGUAUUGGGUAUUACAUGCGACCAUGGAGCAAUGCGACUAUACUUGCCCGCGGAUUUUCAUCGGAUUUUCAUCUCACCGGAAGCAUGUACCAAAUGACGUAAUUUAAACACGUUUACGAUCGUGGUUCUGUUUAUACUUCCCCAGAAAGCCUGAUUCUGGUCAAACGACGUUUACAAACGCACCUUUUUGUGAGUUUACGAUUGGCGUUUUGAAACAGCGUUUAAAUGAAAGUAAGCAUGGAUGCAACCGUGUUUUGGACUAAUCACGUUUGGAAACGCUGAUUCUGGCAUGAAAAGUGGAAGCAUAAACACGGCCUUAGUUGCUUAUACUGCAAAAUAUUGAGAGGGGGGGGGGGGAGGUGAUUGCUCAAGGAUAAUGAAAUAUUUUGUGGGUCAGAAUUGCGAGGGAUGAAUUCUCAAGACAAAUUUAUUUUGCAAAGUUAACAAAAUCUAACAAUCUUAUCUACUUUAUGUUGCUCUGUGGAAAGGCCAUGCUGAAGGGGCUUUGUUUGUAUAACAAUUGAACAUGGAUGCAAAUCUUAGAAAGCCAUUCAUCUCAUUUUUUUCAUUUUAAAGGACACAAUACAUGUACAUACACUGGGCUGGUAUAAUGAACUACUAGUAUGAACAGUGUGUAGUUUAUACUGCCAAUGAAACAAUUAGGUUUCCCACUAUGUACCCAUUUCGAUUUCAUCAGUCUAAAAGGUGGAUCAAAAAAAUUAAUGUUGGGUUUUCUCUGUGUAAAUAGCUAUUUCAUGACACUGAAGCUAUUUUUUAACAAUAGCACUUCAAUGUCACCUUGUAUGCUGUGUGCUUUGCAUAGAAGAGCACACUUUGUUGUCUUAUUACCAUAGUACGUAGUAUAGACGAGCUCGAUGCUUUUGACCUGACCUUCAAAAAUUGGGUCAUUGUAGCACAUGUAGAUAUACUGAUUAGGGUAAAUUAUAUCUCAGUUGAACAAAUUAGUAAUGGUUUAAAAGAAAGUGAACAAACCCUUGACUUUGGACAGCUCUUAAAUUUUGUUAAAGAUAUUUGAUUGCCAAGUUAGUCAACAAUAUUAAAAGUUUAAAGCAAACUUUUAGAGUUCAUGCUGUUUGAUCAGUAGAGUUGAUGUUUGAGUUCAGACCAAUAAAGUGAUUUUCUUCUCAGGAUUGUAUACAUGUACAUGUACAAAGUGUGUAUUUCAAAUACAUUUCUUUGUGAGUAGCCUUCUUAAGUUUCAAGCUCUGGUACCAUGACUUUGCUGCUUUUAUUUAAAGGACAAGUCCACCCCAACAAAAAUUGAUUUGAAUAAAAAGAGAAAAAUCCCACAAGUAUAACGCUGAAAAUUUCAUCAAAAUCGGAUGUAAAAUACGAAAGUUAUGACAUUUUAAAGUUUCGCUUAAUUUCACAAAACAUUUAUAUGCACAUACAUCCUGGUCAUUAUGCAAAUGAGGAGACUGAUGACGUCAUCCACUCACUAUUUGUUUUGUAUUUUAUUAUAUGAAAUAUUCUAAUUUUCUCCUCAUUGUCAAGUGAAACAGUGAUUAAUUCCUCCCUGAACAUGUGGAAUUAUGAUUGUUUAAUAAUAUAUAUGGUUCAGUCAAGUCGGUCCUUAUGGUCAAAUUUGUAAAAAAUGAAAUAUUGUAUAAUUCAAACAAUAAAAAACAAAAGAAAUAGUGAGUGAUGGACAUCAUCGCCUGACUCAUUUGCAUGUCACUGAGUUGUGCAUAUCACUGUUUUGUGAAAAAAUAAGUGAAACUUUAAAAUGCCAUAACUUUCUUAUUUUACAUCCGAUUUUGAUGAAAUUUUCAGCAUUAUGCUAGUUUGAUUUUUCUCUAUUUAUUCAAAUCAACAUUUUGCAGCGGUGGACUUUAAAAAAAAUACCUUUUUUGCAAUUGCACCACAGAGCAUUGAAAAAAAAUUACAUGGGGGCUGAAUUGCUCAAAAGAGCCCUGGAAACCAACAAAAAAGGAGCCCUGGGAAUCCCCAUCCAUCUUGAUGUUAAAGCAUAUCCAAUGUUGCAAAUUUAGACAGUAAGUUGUGAAAAGUGGCCCUGAAACAAAAUAGUUUUUUGCCUCAUUGAAAAGAAUAGAAGACAAGGGGCCCCGUUGCAUAAAACUUAUGCCAUAAAAAACUCUGGCAAAUUUUUUGCCAGAGUUUUUUAAUGUGUAAUUUUCAAUGGUAUAAUUUAUUUUGCCAGAGUUUUUGUUUAUUUGCCAAAUUUUUUUUUGGCAAAAGUUUUAUGCAAUGGGCCCAAAGGGGUGUUUCAUGAGAAUUUGUUUACCCACAGCUGUCAGUGCAAGAGAUUGAUGACUGGUCAAGAAGUACUAGAUGUGGCUGUGGCUAGUUGCAACUGUCAGAGAAUAUUGUUGAUGCUGACAACUUCCAUGAAAUGGUCCCUUGGUUCGCCCCCCCCCCCCUAAAAAAAAAUCACCCCCUUGUAAGGGCCUUGUUCUUGAGAAGGUCCUCAUUUUUAUCAUCUUUUUACCCCCUCCCCUGAAAAGGGGACAUUUUAGGGAGAUAUCCUCUAAUAAAAGUUUGAUUAGAAUUUUGACAUUACAAACGAGAAUUCUUCGCCUAAAAAUGAACCAAGGCAACCACCAUGCUGUUUCCCAUCUGAGAAAGAUCUGUAUGAAGUUAUUUUACAUACAUGUACCGGUACAGUAUAUAUUGUGAAAGUUAAUGAUUUUUCGCAAACAAUGAUGAAUCGUGCACUGCCAAUACUAGCUAGCAUGCUACAAUCAAUGUGAUGUGAAUUUUCUUCAGCUUACUUGUGGCCUACAUUGUAGUAGAAUAGAAUUACCAGGAAUGUAGCCUAUAGUAUCCUACUUUUUGAGAUGUUCAAUAUAAUGCUAUGCGCAGUAAAAUGUAAUUUUGUAGUAGCUUUGCAAAAUAAAUUCAUGCUCAUGAAUGUAAUGUUAUUUUCAGAAAAUGAAAUGACCUUGGAGUUUAUUUUGAGGUAUUUUGAGGUAUUUUGGGUAGUUUUAAAGGCCUCUUCUUAAAAGCUCAUUGAAAAGUGAUUUCCCAGCCUUUAUUAAAGAUCAUUUAAAUUUGUCACCAUAGCAAGUUAGCAUCUUUAAAAAAAAUUGAAUGAAAAUUCCAACCAAUUUCAGGGCUUUGCAUAUGGGCUUGAUCCCUGAAUGUGUGUUGACCAAUUAAGUACAAAUGUAGGUCAAUGUGAAAAAGGAACUUGGUGAGGUCAUCUCCUUGCGGUCAGGGAGAUUACUUACCACACCACAGCCAUGGUCCACUACAGUCCUUUCAUGGUAAAUAGGCAGUGACGUCCAUUUGGGUCAAGGCCAAUGAGGUUGUGUCCGUUUCCUUCUGACAAUUCAUUAUUUAUUAUAAAGUACUGUAAAGAUCGCCCCUCCAUGUACAAUGUACACCCAUUCAUAAUGAAUAAACUUGGACAGAACAGUCAGUACACUUCUCUACUUUUGAAAAAAAAGGAAAAAAGUCAAAAGUAAAUUAAAAAUAAUGGGCUGGUUGUUUUGUGAUAUUUUAUUUUACAGAGCUUUCACUGGAAUAAACUACACAUUUAGAGCCUACACGUACAGUACAGUAUGUAAAAUGUGGGCCUGUAGUUAAUUAUUACACUAUAAAAUUGGGAUGGAGAUUCUAGAUAAUGAAUUUGUAUAAAGUGACUUUAAUACACAGAUUUGUAUUCAAAAUUCAUCUUGCAACAAAAGAGCUGAUAAAGAAAGGAAAAGAAUUUUGGAUGUACCCUUUCAAUGCCUCUGAGAAAGUUUGUUUACCUUGUUUUAUAUUAAAAAGUAACUGCUUCCUUUCAUUUUAUUUGAAGCUCUAAUUUGUUUUUUUAUGUGUACAGUAUACUGAAGGUGACUUCAAACAGGUCAAUGAAUUUGACUUGAGGCAUUCUCUUUUUAUUUUUGUUUUUUUUGGGGGGUAGGGGGGCUAAAAUAAAAGUUGAGUUUAAGACCAUUCCAGUUGUUUUCAAGGAAUACUGCAAAUAUGUACAGAUUUUGGAUUUUGUGCUAUUCAUGAAUUCAAAAUUCCAGAUAAAUGAAUGCAAAUUGUAAUUUUGUACUUUUUCAACAAUAAUUUGCUCUAAACAUGUAUUACAGCCCUUUUUCUUUAGAUUUUUUUCUGAGCAUUUCUAUUUGAUGUAGAAUAUUCUCAUGGUGUAGAUUCCUACGUCUUUAAUUUAACUUUAAUUUAACUAGGUUGGUGCCUCAAGGUUUAAAAAUAACCACCAUUCAACUUCCGAUAAAGUUGAAUCAACCUGGGAAUGUGAUGAGUGUUGCACAUGAGGCACAGGUGUUUAGAUCAUGAACAUCAGUGAAAUAUAUUAGUACAUCUUAUCACCUGUAUGUAGUAGGAAACAGGCAUUUCCUUGAUUAAUUAUGAUUUCUGCAUUUGUAUUUCACGUGCAGUUUUUAUAUUCAUAUGUACAGUUGUGGGGAAAAAAUAUGUAAUGGGGGCUCUUUUUUGUUUAACCUUAUAAAGCUAUUCAUUUGGACUCUUGCAAAGUUAAAUUGGGCCUUAUAAAAAUUUUCACAUUCUUUGUAUUGUACUUUACCCAUGAUGUUGUAUACAUGUAGUAGUGGUUGUAUUAAGAAUAUCUAAAGAAUCACCCCCCAAAAAAAUAAUGAAUAAAUAAAUGAAUAGAUAGAUAGAUAGAUAGAUAGAUAGAUAGAUAGAUAGA
This is a long non-coding RNA of Lytechinus pictus (painted urchin), 8201 nucleotides long. RefSeq lists it as uncharacterized. The record is from RefSeq and is a predicted model, not a curated record. NCBI's taxonomy places the organism in Eukaryota, Metazoa, Echinodermata, Echinoidea, Temnopleuroida, Toxopneustidae. The transcript is spliced from 3 exons.